Molecule: non-coding RNA, 45 nt
Filed under: Trichobilharzia regenti
Lineage: Eukaryota; Metazoa; Platyhelminthes; Trematoda; Strigeidida; Schistosomatidae
Source: RNAcentral
ACCCAACUGACGAGUCCCAAAUAGGAUGAAAUGUGCAUCCUGGAU